AGAAUAUGAAAAUCCAAUUGAAAAAGUAUUACGUGUUCAUAAUUAAUAUGAAAAUCAUUUAGAAAGGACAUACAGUUUUACAUAUGUUUUCAACGGCGCUGGCGCAUUAAUAUUGUGCCUUGAAGUGAAUUAAACUCUUAACUUUCCGACCUAUAAGUCUCGUAAUAAGAUUCCACCGCUAUUAAGUCGUCCAAACUCAAAAGGAUGAAUAAAGAGCUAAAACCGCCGAACUGACAACAAGAAAAGUUCGAAAUUUAUGACCUCAAAGGUGAGAAGCAGAGGUUAGUUUGGGUUCACAACCAAUUGCAAGAACGCAACUUCCAAUAUCUUUCACUUCGAUAAUUGGUUCUAAUUGCGCAAAAGUUACAGAAUAAACUAUUCGCAUUAUAAUUAGAUAUUAGAAGAUUUCGAGAGGGAAGACAUUAAUAUUAAUUAUGCAUGUGUGUAGCUCAUAAAUAAAGUAUUUUUUGUUUACAUUAUGCUUUCAGCAAUUAAUUUUUGUAUAUUUUAUUUAGGUUUGCCAUUUAUUAACUUAGUGCUUAUCUAGUGACUAAAAAAAAUAAACAAAGAUAACAAUU
This is a long non-coding RNA of Ceratitis capitata (Mediterranean fruit fly), 578 nucleotides long. RefSeq lists it as uncharacterized. Lineage: Eukaryota; Metazoa; Arthropoda; Insecta; Diptera; Tephritidae. The record is from RefSeq and is a predicted model, not a curated record. The transcript has 2 exons.